GAUAAUCUCCACAAAUGAACACCACUUAUAUGAUUUUUGAAGCGUGAAUGCAAUCGGCAAAAGUAAAAAGCUAACGUUAGGCUAUAAACUACACCACAGUCGCAUGACUUCACGUCACCACCACUAACCUAAAGGCCCACUAGUGUUUGGCGUGAUGACGUUUAGUAACGAGGGAACCGGAAGUGCUAAAAUGUUAACUAAUUUCCGGGUUUUAGAACUCGUUCCUGCAGCAUUCUGUUCAGCUUAUGUGUGCUUGUCUUCGCAGUAUCCUCCGAAAUGUGUCCUGGUGAAAUGGACAGGUGAUAUUAUGGAAAGGUUUCACUGAUAAAUAAACAGGUCAAGGCACAUGCUAGGCUUCCUUACAUUUCUUUAAAAAGUAAUGCCUCUUUGCCAAUCCCUGAUUAUACUGAGGCCUACAUGUUGAAGAUGCAUCAAAUGUGUUCUCUUUUUGCAGUGUGGGAAUCUGAGAGCUGUGCAUGUACAUUAUACAUUUCUCAACUGUACAACCUUUCCUUCAGCAGCUGACCUGACCGUUGACACUUACAGUACUUCAUCAUUGCCAACUAUAUGUAGCCAAUAUUUACUAGAUUUACAAUAUAUUGUAUUACAUGAGCGAGCUAAACCCCAAACCACUGGAAGCUCGUCAACUUUUAUCAACCAUGGAUACUUAUUGUAUAUAGUAGAAUAAUGUUAGGUAUUUGAGAAAUUGUAUUGCUUUGAUUAUUUUUGUUUCCUUUACACCACUUCCUUCUUCUUAUUUUGUUUUUGCCAGGGGAACUCUUAAGACCAAAGAACACACAUUACACAAACAAUAAAUUCUUAAAAUGUUUUAUUAUUUUUUUUGUUUGUGAUGGUCAUCAUGGUUUCAUCUCAUGCCACACAUCAUUUUGAAAUAUUUUAUUUCAUUCACCAACCCCCAUCUAUGUCAACUUAAUAAAUGUUUUACAGAAA
Sebastes umbrosus (honeycomb rockfish) is the source of this 951-nucleotide long non-coding RNA. RefSeq lists it as uncharacterized. The transcript has 2 exons. NCBI's taxonomy places the organism in Eukaryota, Metazoa, Chordata, Actinopteri, Perciformes, Sebastidae. The record is from RefSeq and is a predicted model, not a curated record.